UACGAAGGGGGCUAGCGUUGUUCGGAUUUACUGGGCGUAAAGCGCACGUAGGCGGAUCGAUCAGUCAGGGGUGAAAUCCCAGAGCUCAACUCUGGAACUGCCUUUGAUACUGUCGAUCUGGAGUAUGGAAGAGGUGAGUGGAAUUCCGAGUGUAGAGGUGAAAUUCGUAGAUAUUCGGAGGAACACCAGUGGCGAAGGCGGCUCACUGGCUCGAUACUGACGCUGAGGUGCGAAAGCGUGGGGAGCAAACAGG
Molecule: ribosomal RNA, 253 nt
Filed under: uncultured bacterium
Lineage: Bacteria
Description: partial 16S ribosomal RNA
Rfam family: Bacterial small subunit ribosomal RNA
Source: RNAcentral